Molecule: ribosomal RNA, 253 nt
Filed under: uncultured bacterium
Lineage: Bacteria
Description: partial 16S ribosomal RNA
Rfam family: Bacterial small subunit ribosomal RNA
Source: RNAcentral
UACGUAGGGGGCAAGCGUUAUCCGGAAUUACUGGGUGUAAAGGGUGAGUAGGCGGCAUGGUAAGCCAGAUGUGAAAGCCUUGGGCUUAACCCGAGGAUUGCAUUUGGAACUAUCAAGCUAGAGUACAGGAGAGGAAAGCGGAAUUCCUAGUGUAGCGGUGAAAUGCGUAGAUAUUAGGAAGAACACCAGUGGCGAAAGCGGCUCUCUGGUCUGUAACUGACGCUGAGGUUCGAAAGCGUGGGUAGCAAACAGG